RNAcentral lists this unclassified non-coding RNA (250 nucleotides) under plant metagenome. Its description in RNAcentral is "partial contains small subunit ribosomal RNA, internal transcribed spacer 1, and 5.8S ribosomal RNA". The record is from RNAcentral.
GUAGGUGAACCUGCGGAAGGAUCAUUAAAAGGUAUCUGCCCUCCUAGCCGUUAAAAAGCCAGUGAGAGGUAGUCCCAGAUCAACCACUGUGCGCACAUAUUGAAGUUUUCUUUGCUUUUGGUAGGCGUCGUUCAAAGAAUUUUUUUGAACGAUUCUACCAUAAGUAAUGCCCAAUAUCAAUAUAAGCCUUAUUUUGUGACUGAAAUUUUUUUAAAUAAAAAUACAACUUUCAACAACGGAUCUCUUGGCU